UGAGGGAUAUUGGUCAAUGGGCGCAAGCCUGAACCAGCGACGCCGCGUGGGUGAAGAAGGUCUUCGGAUCGUAAAGCCCUUUUCCCACUGAAGAGGAAGGACGGUAGGUGGGGAAGAAGUCUCGGCUAACUACGUGCCAGCAGCCGCGGUAAAACGUAGGAGACAAGCGUUAUCCGGAGUUACUGGGCGUAAAGGGCGUGCAGGUGGCGUCUUAAGUCUGUUGUGAAAGCGCUUGGCUUAACCGGGCGAGGCCAAUGGAGACUGAGAGGCUGGAGGACGGCGGAGGGGUGUGGAAUUCCGGGUGUAGUGGUGAAAUGCGUAGAGAUCCGGAGGAACACCAGAGGCGAAGGCGGCACUCUAAGCCGUACCUGACACUGAGACGCGACAGCACGGGGAGCAAACG
RNAcentral lists this ribosomal RNA (403 nucleotides) under uncultured bacterium. RNAcentral describes it as "bacterial SSU rRNA". It matches the Rfam family "Bacterial small subunit ribosomal RNA", at positions 355 to 774 of the family's 1533-position model. The record is from RNAcentral.